UCGAAGUUGUAUCCACAGAAAGUUGUGUUCUUGUUUAGCGGCAUGUUCCACAUUUCCUCCGGUUCUUUUUUCUUCUGUUGUAAGGUAGAAUAAGGAAAGAAGGUAAGUGUACCGUGUGAGUUGCUAUGAAUUAUUGGUGUGGUGCAUAUUUUUUUUUAUCUAUAUGUGUUUAGGGGGGUAGAGGGGAUUGUGAGUGCCUUACCUCUCACUUGCUCUUCAAAGGAUUCUUUUACUACAUAAGGAUCCUCAAAAAAGGUCUGUUAUGUAAAGUUGGAAAUUAUUAGAAUUAAGUGGAGUUAGCUAUAUAAUAAUGAGAUAC
RNAcentral lists this long non-coding RNA (319 nucleotides) under Setaria viridis. RNAcentral describes it as "long non-coding RNA (SVIR_LNC008245)". The record is from RNAcentral. Lineage: Eukaryota; Viridiplantae; Streptophyta; Magnoliopsida; Poales; Poaceae.